UACGUGGGGGGCGAGCGUUGUUCGGAUUUACUGGGCGUAAAGCGCGCGUAGGCGGCUAGAUAAGUCGGUUGUGAAAUCCCUCGGCUUAACCGAGGGCCGGCAUCCGAUACUGCCUGGCUCGAGUGUAGGAGAGGAAAGCGGAAUUCCCAGUGUAGCGGUGAAAUGCGUAGAUAUUGGGAGGAACACCGGUGGCGAAGGCGGCUUGCCGGACUAGCACUGACGCUGAGGCGCGAAAGCUAGGGGAGCGAACGGG
RNAcentral lists this ribosomal RNA (253 nucleotides) under uncultured bacterium. Its description in RNAcentral is "partial 16S ribosomal RNA". It matches the Rfam family "Bacterial small subunit ribosomal RNA", at positions 524 to 776 of the family's 1533-position model. The record is from RNAcentral.